RNAcentral lists this transfer RNA (70 nucleotides) under Paroreomyza montana. Its description in RNAcentral is "tRNA-Glu". Lineage: Eukaryota; Metazoa; Chordata; Aves; Passeriformes; Fringillidae. The record is from RNAcentral.
GUUCUUGUAGUUAAAUUUUUAACGACGGUUUUUCAGGCCGUAGAUCUCGGAGAGAAGCCGAGCAGGAAUU